GUCCUACAGGGUGAGGCAAGGCAAGGCAAGGCGGGGGUGCCAUUGUCGCAGGGAAAGGUGAGGCACAGGCCAGGGCGGCUGCUGCCUGACACCAUCGCCCUCCCCCCGCCUCCGCACAGAGAGGCCAGCGAGCGCAUGGGUGCUGGGAUGCAACCGGCCAAGUGGGACUUUGGUGACUUAGCAGGCAGCUGGUUGAAGAGAGACUGUUGCCAUCUCCGGGGCAUGGCACGCAUGCCCACAGAGAGGGCUCUGAGUGCCACCUCUGGCACGUGUGCCAGAGGUUCGCCACCACUGGUCUAUAUUGAUACAUAAAUAUUCUGAAAGAGAACAUUACAUUCCACAUGGCAGCAAUUUGUUGAUUGGUUGAAUUAUAUUUAACAUAAAGAAACAGCUCUUUAUGUAGGUGUAAUCAGUUUUGGAUUGCAGAGGAAUCGAAGUGCAGUUAUCCCAAGCUGGCUUAAUACUUUCUCUUUCGAAUUUCAUCAGACAGGGGAUGAAGUAGGCUGCAGUCCAUUCUGUAAUGCAUGCCUAAAUUUUAAAGACACUGCUUUGGGGAACGAUACUCACACCUUCAAGCCAGCAAACUUGGGAAUCUGGGCAGCGAUCUCUCAAAGACGGAAUGGCCGCUUUGGCCCCGCCCCACUCCCGACACGCCUCGCGCUCAGCGGACUUUCCGUAGGCAAGAUGGCGGCGCCCACGCUCCGGGUUGGAAACCUAUGGCUUCUUUCGGCUCGGAGAGCAGCAGCGCUGCCUCGGCUCCUGGUUUCGCAGGCGCGGCGGCAACGUCAUGACCAGCGGCCAGACGCUAGGCCGGUGCCUGGUUCGCCCGUGGCGAAGGGGCUCUUAGCCACCCAGUACCAGCGCGGUCUGUUCCAGGAGGUGUUCCCGCCUCAGCCCGCCGAGGAGCAGCUCAUCGACCUCCUCCAGCCCGGCCGCCCGCCCGUCACGGCCUACUGCGGCUUCGACCCCACGGCCGACUCGUUGCACGUUGGGCACCUACUGACAGUCCUGGGCUUGCUGCACUUCCAGCGCGCCGGCCAUAACGUCAUCGCCCUAGUGGGCGGAGCCACGGCGCAGCUGGGCGAUCCCAGCGGCCGCACCAAAGCGCGCGAGCCGCUGACGGCGGAGCAGGUGCGGGAGCGCGCGGGGGGCCUCCUCGAGGGGCUGCAACGGCUCUUCCAGAACCACCGGGAGCUCUUCUGGGCCGAGGAUGGCGACCGCCUGGGCAGCGUCCAUUUCCUGGACAACGCCAGCUGGCUGGAACGCGAGUCGGUCAUGGGCUUCCUGGGCGGAAUCGGGGGUCACCUGCGGAUGGGCACGUUGCUCAGCCGGCAGAGCUGCAAGGCCCGCUUGAGCAGCACGGAAGGCCUGGGCUUGGCCGAGUUUCUAUACCCGGCUCUGCAAGCUUACGACUUCCUGCAUUUGUACCGUCACUACGGCUGCCUCAUUCAGCUGGGUGGAGCGGACCAGCUGGGCAAUAUCAUGUCUGGAUACGACCUCGUCUCUAAAGUAACUGACAAUGAUGUAUAUGGAAUAACUGUACCUCUUAUUACAAGUACUACUGGAGAUAAGCUGGGAAAAUCUGCUGGGAACGCAGUUUGGCUUAACAGAAAUAGGACUUCUCCGUUUGAACUGUAUCAGUUCUUUAUCAGACAACCAGAUGCCACUGUAGAAAGGUAUUUGAAGCUUUUUACUUUCCUUUCUGAUAUGGAAAUUGAUCAUAUCAUGCAAGUGCAUGCUAAAGACCCUGAGAAGCGGGGACCUCAGAAGCGGCUUGCUGCUGAAGUAACUAAGCUUGUUCAUGGCAGGAAAGGUCUGGAAUCUGCCAAGAGAUGUACAAAGGCCUUUUAUUAUAGCAAUGUAGAUGCAUUAGAAAGUAUGUCUGACGAAGAGCUACAAGAACUCUUUAGAGAAGCACCUUACAUAGAAAUGCUACUUGAACCUGGAACAACAGUAAUUGAUUUGUGUCGGAAAGCUAAUGCAAUUGCAGAUGGACCAAAGGGAUACCGUGACAUAACGGUUGGUGCAGUUUCUAUAAAUCAUAUUGCAGAAACGAACCCUGAGGCUGUGCUUAUUCUUGGACAACAUAUUCUGAGUAAUGGUUUAUCACUACUGAAGAUUGGAAAGAGGAAUUAUUAUAUUAUAAAAUGGCUUCAGUUGUCACAUGAAGAGUGACAAUAUUAAGGUUUGUAAUAUGUUAGGAAAGGUCACCUUUCUUCAAAGAUGUCAGAAAGGCGUGAUCUAGAGAAGUACACAUCAGAUGUUAACAAGGACAGUGAAGUAUUGUGUAAAGAGUUUUUCCUCACUGAGUGAGGCUUGCUUACCUACAGAAUCAUUUGGAAAAUGGAUGGUGUUUUAUUUCAUUGUUCAGUAAUGAAAUACAUGUAAUAGUUUCGAUUAUAAUGGAAUUUAAAUGUAUAAAUCAUUGUGGAAAUGUUCUCUGCAAUGAGAUUAAAAUGAAUUUACAAAGAUUUACUAGUUGCAUUAUUAUUUGAAUUACAAGCUUUAGAUAAAAUUGGCUUAUUCUAAACACUAUAAUUUUGUUCAGUAUUUUCUAUGAUAAAGUUGUUUAGUAUCAUUCUGUGAGAUGGUUCGACUGUGGACAAAACUAUCUGAAGAAAUGCAGCUAAGUUGCUAUUAUUGAAACAUCAGUAAUUCCAGCUUCAAACAAAUAUUGGGAUAGAGAAGGAGUUUAUUUGGAGCAUCAGAAACAGUUCCUGUUCCAAAAGAGCUACUUCUCAAAAUUUGGCAGUCCAUCACUAGAAAGAUGGAUCAGUGUGGUCUGAAGAAAGACAUCAUGUGCCAGGCCUUCCCAAAACAGUUGUGUUGGCCCGUCUCUAGGUAGUCAUGUCAUUCUACUUGAAUUAAUUCAGAGCUGUUGUUAGUACUUAGAAUUUCCUGUAUCUAUGUAACUUAGAACAACUUACUUCACUCAAAGACAAACCUGGGAAUUAAAUAUUGCAUUAAACAUGAGCUUUGCCUUCAAAA
RNA transcript from Crotalus tigris (Tiger rattlesnake), 2988 nucleotides. It is a transcript of the gene named tyrosyl-tRNA synthetase 2, with no coding region annotated. The transcript has 6 exons. The record is from RefSeq and is a predicted model, not a curated record. NCBI's taxonomy places the organism in Eukaryota, Metazoa, Chordata, Lepidosauria, Squamata, Viperidae.